GCCUAGCCCUUAACACAGAUAAUACCAAUACAAUAUUAUCCGCCAGAAGACUACUAGCGAAAAGCUUAAAACUCCAAGGACUUGGCGGUGCUUCAUAUCAACCUAGAGGAGCCUGUCCUAUAAUCGAUACUCCCCGCUAAACCCAACCACCUCUAGCAAGUACAGCCUAUAUACCGCCGUCGAAAGCCUACCUUAUGAAAGAAACAAAGUGGGCACAAUAGUUAAUAACUAAGACGUCAGGUCAAGGUGUAGCACACGAGAUGGGAGAGAUGGGCUACAUUUUCUAAACAAAAAUACGAAUAGCGCAAUUGAAACACAUCCUUGAAGGUGGAUUUAGAAGUAAGACAAACAAGAAAGUUUGUCUUAAACCUGCUCUGAAGCGCGC
This 385-nucleotide ribosomal RNA is filed under the name Tropidophorus baconi. Its description in RNAcentral is "partial 12S rRNA". It matches the Rfam family "Bacterial small subunit ribosomal RNA", at positions 794 to 1384 of the family's 1533-position model. The record is from RNAcentral. Lineage: Eukaryota; Metazoa; Chordata; Lepidosauria; Squamata; Scincidae.